UAGUCAUAUGCUUGUCUCAAAGAUUAAGCCAUGCAUGUCUAAGAAUAAGCCCAUUGAAUGGUGAAUCUGCGAAUGGCUCAUUAAAUCAGUUAUUGUUUAUUUGAUGAUCACUUUUACUACUUGGAUAACCGUAGUAAUUCUAGAGCUAAUACAUGCGUCAAGCCCUGACUGUGUUUUUUUCACGAGAGACGUGGAAAGGGUGCAUUUAUUAGAUUCAAAACCAUCAAAAGGAUUUUUUGGGAGUUUGGGGAAGAAUUGAAAGAUUUUUUCUUUUUUAUCUCAUUUUUCUUUUUUUUAGAUGGUGAGUCAUAAUAACUGAGCGAAUCGAAUUUGGCCUUUUUGUGCCGUCGAUACCUCAUUCAAAUUUCUGCCCUAUCAGCUUUCGAUGGUAGGAUUUUGGCCUACCAUGGCGAUAACGGGUAACGGGGAAUUAGGGUUCGAUUCCGGAGAGGGAGCUUGAGAAACGGCUACCACAUCCAAGGAUGGCAGCAGGCGCGCAAAUUACCCAAUCCCGACACGGGGAGGUAGUGACAAUAAAUAACGAUGCUGGAUUAUUAUUUAAUCCGGCAAUUGGAAUGAGAGUGAUUUAAACCAACACUCGAGGAACCAUU
RNAcentral lists this ribosomal RNA (611 nucleotides) under uncultured eukaryote. Its description in RNAcentral is "partial 18S ribosomal RNA". It matches the Rfam family "Eukaryotic small subunit ribosomal RNA", at positions 21 to 549 of the family's 1831-position model. The record is from RNAcentral.